This is a long non-coding RNA of Acomys russatus (golden spiny mouse), 356 nucleotides long. RefSeq lists it as uncharacterized. The transcript is spliced from 3 exons. Lineage: Eukaryota; Metazoa; Chordata; Mammalia; Rodentia; Muridae. The record is from RefSeq and is a predicted model, not a curated record.
AUGUGGAGAACGAGACUUACAAAGGUCAACUGGCUUCCCCAAGAAAAAAGCCAGUGAAUCCAUAUGGAACUUGAAUAUGCUUAUAGGGAGCUGAAGGCAGAGAGUUGAAGUAUAUUCUACUUUUGGACACCGCUCCCCUACAAGUUAUUUUCUUUGAGAAGGUUUUCGUACAGUGGGAGCAGUUUUAUGGAACACACAUGUACUACAGUACAGCUACGUAAACUCCCAUACAGUCUUCAGAGGGCCCUGCUUCUCUGCAGUCCUGCAGCCUACAGCAUUGCUAGCUUUGCUUCUGUCACCAACAGCCACAGUCACUUACAGAACAAUUAUUUUAACCGGAAAACACACCUCAUCCA